CCUACGGGAGGCAGCAGUGGGGAAUAUUGGACAAUGGGCGCAAGCCUGAUCCAGCAAUGCCGCGUGAGUGAUGAAGGCCUUAGGGUUGUAAAGCUCUUUUACCCGGGAUGAUAAUGACAGUACCGGGAGAAUAAGCUCCGGCUAACUCCGUGCCAGCAGCCGCGGUAAUACGGAGGGAG
Molecule: ribosomal RNA, 179 nt
Filed under: uncultured bacterium
Lineage: Bacteria
Description: partial 16S ribosomal RNA
Rfam family: Bacterial small subunit ribosomal RNA
Source: RNAcentral